GUCUAUGGCCAUACCACCCUGAAGGUGCCCAAUUUCAUCUGAUCUCAGAGGGCCAGGGGCGGGUCUGAUUGGUACUUGGAUGAGAGAAGAAUAUUAACGUGGUGAGCU
Cricetulus griseus (Chinese hamster) is the source of this 108-nucleotide ribosomal RNA. NCBI's taxonomy places the organism in Eukaryota, Metazoa, Chordata, Mammalia, Rodentia, Cricetidae. The record is from Ensembl.